This 671-nucleotide long non-coding RNA is filed under the name Olea europaea subsp. europaea. Lineage: Eukaryota; Viridiplantae; Streptophyta; Magnoliopsida; Lamiales; Oleaceae. The record is from RNAcentral.
GAUAGUUUGAGGCUAUGAUCCAUUUAUGCUGGCGGUAAAGAUGAUUUUUCCUCUAUAUAUACCUAUGUUGUUUAUCUUGGUCGAGAUCCAGUAUUGUCGGGUUUUAGAAAGUAAAGAAAUGUCAUUGAUCCUCAAUUGAGGUUGAAUAUCAUUCUGUUGCCAAUACCACUGCUAAACGCAAUUGGGUUCAUAUCUCUUAUUGGACCUUAGCGUUAAGGUAUCCUUAUGCCCCAUGAUUUAUUGUGAUAAUUAGCAUCAAUCAACUAUGUUUCAACUCGACGUUCCGUUCAAGAAUGAGGCAUGUUACAAUUGAUUUUCAUUCCAUUCAGGAUCAAAUUCAAAGUGAUACUCUACGUGUUGCUCGUCUGUUGUGAGUCCAUCAAUUAGCUGAUAAUCUCACAAAGCCACUUCCUUUACAUGCAUUCUUGAGCUCAAAUUCAAGAUUGGACUCCACUCCCCGACUUAGUAUUGAGAGGGCAUACCAAUGGAUUUUAUCCUCAUUGGUUCUUAGCAUCAUUUUUGGAGAUUGCUUAAUUGGAGUUUGUAUAUCUGAAUUCAUUAUUGUUGUUGCUUUAGAUUGAUUCCAAGAUAUAUAUUAUCUCAUUUGUAUAGUUUAGAGUUAUCACAAAUACUAGUUUUUAGAAAAAUUUGUCAUGAAAUUGUUGUGUAAG